CGCUCGAAUCCAAAAAAAUUAAAAAGGCCAAAUACGGUACGAAGUUGAAGAGCAUUGAGGACCACAAUUCCUAAAAGUUUUGCCAAAUACAGCUAAGGUAAUCUAUGCCUGAGGUAGAAAAGCCUUAGUAUUUCAAAAAAAUCUAAAUUUUGUAAACAGUUAAUUUAUAAAUAUAACAAUAUCAAUGAUAAUUCUCGUCAGCACUGUUGCUUGUGAUACCCUCGGGGAAAUAAAUCUCCACCAGCAGUGGCAUCGACCCAGUGGUUGUAAAUAAACUCAUCAUAGAUACCAGGACUAUAUUUUAUAUAUACGCCAGACGCGCGUUUCGUCUACAAAAGACUCAUUAGUGACGUUCGAAUCCAAAAAAGUUAAAAAGG
RNAcentral lists this long non-coding RNA (377 nucleotides) under Mytilus galloprovincialis (Mediterranean mussel). Lineage: Eukaryota; Metazoa; Mollusca; Bivalvia; Mytilida; Mytilidae. The record is from RNAcentral.